RNAcentral lists this ribosomal RNA (301 nucleotides) under uncultured bacterium. RNAcentral's name for it is "partial 16S ribosomal RNA". It matches the Rfam family "Bacterial small subunit ribosomal RNA", at positions 509 to 808 of the family's 1533-position model. The record is from RNAcentral.
CAGCCGCCGCGGUAAUACGUAUGUCACAAGCGUUGUCCGGAUUUAUUGGGCGUAAAGCGCGUCUAGGUGGUUAUGUAAGUCUGAUGUGAAAAUGCAGGGCUCAACUCUGUAUUGCGUUGGAAACUGUGUAACUAGAGUACUGGAGAGGUGAGCGGAACUACAAGUGUAGAGGUGAAAUUCGUAGAUAUUUGUAGGAAUGCCGAUGGGGAAGCCAGCUUACUGGACAGAUACUGACGCUGAAGCGCGAAAGCGUGGGUAGCAGACAGGAUUAGAUACCCCAGUAGUCCCUGUCUCUUAUACA